GUCACUUUGCCGGAGUGGUUAACGGGAUCGCCUGCUAUUUCAUAGCAUUUAUAGCGGUUGUGCUUUGCACGCGAGUGUUCGAAUCGCUCAGGUGACG
Cristinia sonorae is the source of this 97-nucleotide non-coding RNA. Lineage: Eukaryota; Fungi; Basidiomycota; Agaricomycetes; Agaricales; Stephanosporaceae. The record is from the annotation of a GenBank genome assembly.